This 245-nucleotide ribosomal RNA is filed under the name uncultured bacterium. Its description in RNAcentral is "partial 16S ribosomal RNA". It matches the Rfam family "Bacterial small subunit ribosomal RNA", at positions 524 to 768 of the family's 1533-position model. The record is from RNAcentral.
UACGUAGGGGGCGAGCGUUAUCCGGAUUUACUGGGUGUAAAGAGCGCGUAGGCGGUUCCGUAAGUUGGUUGUGAAAGUUCGAGGCUCAACCUCGAAACUGCGUCCAAUACUGCGGGGCUGGAGUGCAAGAGAGGCAAGUGGAAUUUGCAGUGUAGUAGUGAAAUGCGUAGAUAUUGCAAGGAACACCAGUGGCGAAGGCGGCUUGCUAGCUUGUAACUGACGCUGAGGCGCGAAAGCUAGGGGAG